Nematostella vectensis (starlet sea anemone) is the source of this 341-nucleotide long non-coding RNA. RefSeq lists it as uncharacterized. NCBI's taxonomy places the organism in Eukaryota, Metazoa, Cnidaria, Anthozoa, Actiniaria, Edwardsiidae. The record is from RefSeq and is a predicted model, not a curated record. The transcript has 2 exons.
AUUCUAAAAAAGCUAGAUUGGAAACAGGAAUAGCUGUUGUUUUUGGUUUCACUUCAACCAACAACGAACAAUGAUAUUCGUCGAAGCAUGGAAUACCUAACAGAGUUAGCAGAAAGCAAAUCUUUGGAAAAUAUCUUUACCUCAAUUAUCAGACAUCAAUAGAAAACACUCUCCCGUAAAACUGAUAACAGCGAGGAUUUUUUUAAUAACAAACUGGCCAUUUCUCAAAAGAGGUACAACCAGAAUAUUCUAGAUCAUGGAUUAAUUCAAAGUCCUUAUCCAGAGAAGAAGAACUAUUUGAAAAUAUAAGUGGAUGUAAAUAAAGUACCAAACGAGAGGAA